GGUCUUUAUGGUAUAACUGAUAUGUGAAAAACGGCACAUAUUUAAUCUGUGCAGUUUGAUGAGUUUGGACAAAGGCACACUCCUGUGAAACCAUGACCACAAUCAGGGGUCCCAGUCGAGAACUUGCAAGGACAGAGAUGAGGCAGAGGAGGAGGAGCAGGGUCUUCACAGCUGCUUCCCCGAUGGCCACCAGAACCACCUCCAGCCCGGGCCCUGAUCUCCCUGCGGGAAAGUGGGAUGAGGAUGGACCCACCUGCUCCACGGCUAUCCCUGUCCUUCCAAUCCCAGCAGGACUCUGGAUGUUGGUUCUCCAGCCCCUCCUCCAUCACGGGAUGUGGGACCACCUGUGCCUGGACCUCACCUGACCCCAAGUCCUGACUGUCCAGCAGUUGAUCAGAGAAAAGUUGCAUAAAUUGGACUCCAUUCAAAG
This 430-nucleotide long non-coding RNA is filed under the name Equus asinus (donkey). RNAcentral describes it as "lncRNA (ENSEASG00005031589.1)". The record is from RNAcentral. Lineage: Eukaryota; Metazoa; Chordata; Mammalia; Perissodactyla; Equidae.